GAUGAAGAACGUAGCGAAAUGCGAUAAGUAAUGUGAAUUGCAGAAUUCAGUGAACCAUCGAAUCUUUGAACGCACAUUGCGCCCGGCAGUAAUCUGCCGGGCAUGCCUGUCCGAGCGUCAUUUCUGCCCUCGAGCGAGUCCAGCAUCUAGGUGCUGGGCCCGCCCGGCGUUGGGGCACUACGAGAAGCCCUGUGCUGUCCCCCGUAGGCCCCGAAAUGAAGUGGCGGUCCUGCCGCGGCGCCCCCUGCGUAGUAUAACAGCUCGCUUCGGGACCCGGUGGAGGCCUGCCGUCAAACCUUACUCUCUAAGUUUGACCUCGGAUCAGGUAGGGUUACCCGCUGAACUUAAGCAUAUCAAUAAGCGGAGGA
RNAcentral lists this unclassified non-coding RNA (368 nucleotides) under soil metagenome. Its description in RNAcentral is "partial contains 5.8S ribosomal RNA, internal transcribed spacer 2, and large subunit ribosomal RNA". The stretch from base 1 to 120 matches the Rfam family "5.8S ribosomal RNA", at positions 35 to 154 of the family's 154-position model. The record is from RNAcentral.